This 301-nucleotide ribosomal RNA is filed under the name uncultured bacterium. RNAcentral describes it as "partial 16S ribosomal RNA". It matches the Rfam family "Bacterial small subunit ribosomal RNA", at positions 509 to 807 of the family's 1533-position model. The record is from RNAcentral.
CAGUAGCCGCGGUAAUACAGAGGGUGCGAGCGUUAAUCGGAUUUACUGGGCGUAAAGCGUGCGUAGGCGGCUUCUUAAGUCGGAUGUGAAAUCCCUGAGCUUAACUUAGGAAUUGCAUUCGAUACUGGGAAGCUAGAGUAUGGGAGAGGAUGGUAGAAUUCCAGGUGUAGCGGUGAAAUGCGUAGAGAUCUGGAGGAAUACCGAUGGCGAAGGCAGCCAUCUGGCCUAAUACUGACGCUCAUGCACGAAAGCGUGGGGAGCAAACAGGAUUAGAUACCCCCGUAGUCCCUGUCUCUUAUAC